RNAcentral lists this ribosomal RNA (446 nucleotides) under uncultured bacterium. RNAcentral's name for it is "SSU rRNA". It matches the Rfam family "Bacterial small subunit ribosomal RNA", at positions 26 to 518 of the family's 1533-position model. The record is from RNAcentral.
AGAGCGAACGCUGGCGGCAGGCUUAACACAUGCAAGUCGAGCGGGCGUAGCAAUACGUCAGCGGCAGACGGGUGAGUAACGCGUGGGAACAUACCUUUUGGUUCGGAACAACACAGGGAAACUUGUGCUAAUACCGGAUAAGCCCUUACGGGGAAAGAUUUAUCGCCGAAAGAUUGGCCCGCGUCUGAUUAGCUAGUUGGUGAGGUAACGGCUCACCAAGGCGACGAUCAGUAGCUGGUCUGAGAGGAUGAUCAGCCACAUUGGGACUGAGACACGGCCCAAACUCCUACGGGAGGCAGCAGUGGGAAUAUUGGACAAUGGGCGCAAGCCUGAUCCAGCCAUGCCGCGUGAGUGAUGAAGGCCCUAGGGUUGUAAAGCUCUUUUGUGCGGGAAGAUAAUGACGGUACCGCAAGAAUAAGCCCGGCUAACUUCGCGCCAGCAGCCGC